RNAcentral lists this ribosomal RNA (273 nucleotides) under uncultured bacterium. Its description in RNAcentral is "partial 16S ribosomal RNA". It matches the Rfam family "Bacterial small subunit ribosomal RNA", at positions 82 to 354 of the family's 1533-position model. The record is from RNAcentral.
CCUCCGCCGGCGACCGGCGCACGGGUGAGUAACACGUAUGCAACCUGCCCCUGUCAGGGGGACAACCCGCCGAAAGGCGGGCUAAACCCGCGUACAUGCCACCGGGGCAUCCCGGAGGCAGGAAAGGCUUCGGCCGGACAGGGAUGGGCAUGCGGCGCAUUAGGCAGUAGGCGGGGUAACGGCCCACCUAACCGACGAUGCGUAGGGGUUCUGAGAGGAAGGUCCCCCACACUGGUACUGAGACACGGACCAGACUCCUACGGGAGGCAGCAG